AUUGAACGCUGGCGGCAGGCCUAACACAUGCAAGUCGAGCGGCAGCGGGAAAGUAGCUUGCUACUUUUGCCGGCGAGCGGCGGACGGGUGAGUAAUGCCUGGGGAUCUGCCCAGUCGAGGGGGAUAACUACUGGAAACGGUAGCUAAUACCGCAUGCGCCCUACGGGGGAAAGCAGGGGACCUUCGGGCCUUGCGCGAUUGGAUGAACCCAGGUGGGAUUAGCUAGUUGGUGAGGUAAUGGCUCACCAAGGCGACGAUCCCUAGCUGGUCUGAGAGGAUGAUCAGCCACACUGGAACUGAGACACGGUCCAGACUCCUACGGGAGGCAGCAGUGGGGAAUAUUGCACAAUGGGGGAAACCCUGAUGCAGCCAUGCCGCGUGUGUGAAGAAGGCCUUCGGGUUGUAAAGCACUUUCAGCGAGGAGGAAAGGUUGGUAGCUAAUAACUGCCAGCUGUGACGUACUCGCAG
Molecule: ribosomal RNA, 468 nt
Filed under: Aeromonas sp. AE208
Lineage: Bacteria; Pseudomonadati; Pseudomonadota; Gammaproteobacteria; Aeromonadales; Aeromonadaceae
Also listed under: 2 other names
Description: bacterial SSU rRNA
Rfam family: Bacterial small subunit ribosomal RNA
Source: RNAcentral